Molecule: long non-coding RNA, 921 nt
Organism: Diabrotica virgifera virgifera (western corn rootworm)
Lineage: Eukaryota; Metazoa; Arthropoda; Insecta; Coleoptera; Chrysomelidae
Exons: 3
Source: RefSeq, a predicted model, not a curated record
UUGAUAAGAAAAGAGUGCAGACGUUAUUUUUGUUAAUAUUAACCUCCAAAGAUAUGACAAGCCACAAUGCUAAAAGUCCGGAUGUAGUCGGAUGAGAACAUGUAACCGCAGUUGUUAUUUGUGUAAAUGUUAUCACAUAUUUUUAAAACUAUAAGGUCUUGUUUUUGCAAAACACAUUCAAACAUUUGAUCACGUUCAUGCUGUGUGAAUUUCGCCUAUAAAUACUGAAACAGACGAGCAUAUACCGUAGUCGACAUCUGACAGUUUCUACAGUAUAGUUGCAGUGUUCAGUGGAAAAUAUUCAAUUAAGAUAUUCCUAGCGUUCAGACGUGUGCUCUGUGGAUGCUUUUUCCUCUGCGAUACAACCGAUCGUCUGUCACACUGAAAAGUGGGUUACUAAAAAGUUGUAGUGAGUUGUCGUUUGUCCUACAUGAUUAAACAUCUUUAAAAGAUGUUCAGUUAAGACCAUUAAAAGAUAUCUGAUAUAUAGCCCACUGGCAAAAUUAAUGAGCCGUUCUGGUUAACUCUAGAACCGUUGCUCGUGUAGCCGCUCAUUAUAAAAGAUGGCAAUCAGAUCAUAAAAAGAUGUCUGCUGAACCAUUUCCUGUAUGUUUAAAAAAGAUGUUCAGUUAAGGUCACUAAAAGAUAUUCGUUAUAAAAAUGUACUAUAAAUAAUGUUAAUAAAAAGAUACCUGCUGAACCAUUUCCGGUAUUUUAAAAUACAAUAAACAGUUUUCGGCUAUGAACCACUUUGUGAUUUUGUAACAUCAUUACAGCUUUGCUCGUUACUUACUAGAAGGUGGGGCAACAAUCGCUUGUUCUAUGCUAUCACAAAUAUAUAUAUAUAUUGAAUCACAUUUGAUUCCUCUGAGGAAAUUUGGUGGUUGUAGGCCUCUAGGGGAUGGUGUCCACGAUAAAACA